This 541-nucleotide ribosomal RNA is filed under the name uncultured archaeon. RNAcentral describes it as "bacterial SSU rRNA". It matches the Rfam family "Archaeal small subunit ribosomal RNA", at positions 459 to 997 of the family's 1478-position model. The record is from RNAcentral.
CAGCAGCCGCGGGAACACCGGCGGCCCGAGUGGUGAUCGUGAUUAUUGGGUCUAAAGGGUCCGUAGCCGGUUUGGUCAGUCCUCCGGGAAAUCUGAUAGCUCAACUAUUAGGCUUUCGGGGGAUACUGCCAGACUUGGAACCGGGAGAGGUAAGAGGUACUACAGGGGUAGGAGUGAAAUCUUGUAAUCCCUGUGGGACCACCUGUGGCGAAGGCGUCUUACCAGAACGGGUUCGACGGUGAGGGACGAAAGCUGGGGGCACGAACCGGAUUAGAUACCCGGGUAGUCCCAGCCGUAAACGGUGCUCGCUAGGUGUCAGGCAUGGCGCGACCGUGUCUGGUGCCGCAGGGAAGCCGUGAAGCGAGCCACCUGGGAAGUACGGCCGCAAGGCUGAAACUUAAAGGAAUUGGCGGGGGAGCACAACAAACCGGGUGGAGCCUGCGGUUUAAUUGGACUCAACGCCGGACAACUCACCGGGGGCGACAGCAAUAUGUAGGCCAAGCUGAAAACUUUGCCUGAAUCGCUGAGAAGAGGUGCAUGG